RNAcentral lists this ribosomal RNA (2921 nucleotides) under Klebsiella pneumoniae. RNAcentral's name for it is "23S ribosomal RNA". It matches the Rfam family "Bacterial large subunit ribosomal RNA". Lineage: Bacteria; Pseudomonadati; Pseudomonadota; Gammaproteobacteria; Enterobacterales; Enterobacteriaceae. The record is from RNAcentral.
GGGUUGUGAGGUUAAGCGACUAAGCGUACACGGUGGAUGCCCUGGCAGUCAGAGGCGAUGAAGGACGUGCUAAUCUGCGAAAAGCGUCGGUAAGGUGAUAUGAACCGUUAUAACCGGCGAUGUCCGAAUGGGGAAACCCAGUGUGAUUCGUCACACUAUCGUUAACUGAAUACAUAGGUUAACGAGGCGAACCGGGGAACUGAAACAUCUAAGUACCCCGAGGAAAAGAAAUCAACCGAGAUUCCCCCAGUAGCGGCGAGCGAACGGGGAGCAGCCCAGAGUCUGAAUCAGCUUGUGUGUUAGUGGAACGGUCUGGAAAGUCCGACGGUACAGGGUGAUAGUCCCGUACACCAAAAUGCACAGGCUGUGAACUCGAAGAGUAGGGCGGGACACGUGGUAUCCUGUCUGAAUAUGGGGGACCAUCCUCCAAGGCUAAAUACUCCUGACUGACCGAUAGUGAACCAGUACCGUGAGGGAAAGGCGAAAAGAACCCCGGCGAGGGGAGUGAAAAAGAACCUGAAACCGUGUACGUACAAGCAGUGGGAGCACCUUCGGGUGUGACUGCGUACCUUUUGUAUAAUGGGUCAGCGACUUAUAUUCUGUAGCAAGGUUAACCGUAUAGGGGAGCCGCAGGGAAACCGAGUCUUAACUGGGCGUUAAGUUGCAGGGUAUAGACCCGAAACCCGGUGAUCUAGCCAUGGGCAGGUUGAAGGUUGGGUAACACUAACUGGAGGACCGAACCGACUAAUGUUGAAAAAUUAGCGGAUGACUUGUGGCUGGGGGUGAAAGGCCAAUCAAACCGGGAGAUAGCUGGUUCUCCCCGAAAGCUAUUUAGGUAGCGCCUCGUGAAUUCAUCUUCGGGGGUAGAGCACUGUUUCGGCUAGGGGGUCAUCCCGACUUACCAACCCGAUGCAAACUACGAAUACCGAAGAAUGUUAUCACGGGAGACACACGGCGGGUGCUAACGUCCGUCGUGAAGAGGGAAACAACCCAGACCGCCAGCUAAGGUCCCAAAGUCAUGGUUAAGUGGGAAACGAUGUGGGAAGGCACAGACAGCCAGGAUGUUGGCUUAGAAGCAGCCAUCAUUUAAAGAAAGCGUAAUAGCUCACUGGUCGAGUCGGCCUGCGCGGAAGAUGUAACGGGGCUAAACCAUGCACCGAAGCUGCGGCAGCGACACUAUGUGUUGUUGGGUAGGGGAGCGUUCUGUAAGCCUGCGAAGGUGACCUGUGAGGGUUGCUGGAGGUAUCAGAAGUGCGAAUGCUGACAUAAGUAACGAUAAAGCGGGUGAAAAGCCCGCUCGCCGGAAGACCAAGGGUUCCUGUCCAACGUUAAUCGGGGCAGGGUGAGUCGACCCCUAAGGCGAGGCCGAAAGGCGUAGUCGAUGGGAAACAGGUUAAUAUUCCUGUACUUGGUGUUACUGCGAAGGGGGGACGGAGAAGGCUAUGUUAGCCGGGCGACGGUUGUCCCGGUUUAAGCAUGUAGGCUGGUUGUCCAGGCAAAUCCGGAUAAUCAAGGCUGAGGUGUGAUGACGAGGCACUACGGUGCUGAAGUAACAAAUGCCCUGCUUCCAGGAAAAGCCUCUAAGCAUCAGGUAACAUCAAAUCGUACCCCAAACCGACACAGGUGGUCAGGUAGAGAAUACCAAGGCGCUUGAGAGAACUCGGGUGAAGGAACUAGGCAAAAUGGUGCCGUAACUUCGGGAGAAGGCACGCUGGUGUGUAGGUGAAGUCCCUGCGGAUGGAGCUGAGACCAGUCGAAGAUACCAGCUGGCUGCAACUGUUUAUUAAAAACACAGCACUGUGCAAACACGAAAGUGGACGUAUACGGUGUGACGCCUGCCCGGUGCCGGAAGGUUAAUUGAUGGGGUUAUCCGUAAGGAGAAGCUCUUGAUCGAAGCCCCGGUAAACGGCGGCCGUAACUAUAACGGUCCUAAGGUAGCGAAAUUCCUUGUCGGGUAAGUUCCGACCUGCACGAAUGGCGUAAUGAUGGCCAGGCUGUCUCCACCCGAGACUCAGUGAAAUUGAACUCGCUGUGAAGAUGCAGUGUACCCGCGGCAAGACGGAAAGACCCCGUGAACCUUUACUAUAGCUUGACACUGAACAUUGAGCCUUGAUGUGUAGGAUAGGUGGGAGGCUUUGAAGCGUGGACGCCAGUCUGCGUGGAGCCAACCUUGAAAUACCACCCUUUAAUGUUUGAUGUUCUAACGUUGGCCCCUGACCGGGGUUGCGGACAGUGUCUGGUGGGUAGUUUGACUGGGGCGGUCUCCUCCCAAAGCGUAACGGAGGAGCACGAAGGUUAGCUAAUCCUGGUCGGACAUCAGGAGGUUAGUGCAAUGGCAUAAGCUAGCUUGACUGCGAGCGUGACGGCGCGAGCAGGUGCGAAAGCAGGUCAUAGUGAUCCGGUGGUUCUGAAUGGAAGGGCCAUCGCUCAACGGAUAAAAGGUACUCCGGGGAUAACAGGCUGAUACCGCCCAAGAGUUCAUAUCGACGGCGGUGUUUGGCACCUCGAUGUCGGCUCAUCACAUCCUGGGGCUGAAGUAGGUCCCAAGGGUAUGGCUGUUCGCCAUUUAAAGUGGUACGCGAGCUGGGUUUAGAACGUCGUGAGACAGUUCGGUCCCUAUUCUGCCGUGGGCGCUGGAGAAUUGAGGGGGCUGCUCCUAGUACGAGAGGACCGGAGUGGACGCAUCACUGGUGUUCGGGUUGUCAUGCCAAUGGCACUGCCCGGUAGCUAAAUGCGGAAGAGAUAAGUGCUGAAAGCAUCUAAGCACGAAACUUGCCCCGAGAUGAGUUCUCCCUGAGACUUUAAGUCUCCUGAAGGAACGUUGAAGACGACGACGUUGAUAGGCCGGGUGUGUAAGCGCAGCGAUGCGUUGAGCUAACCGGUACUAAUGAACCGUGAGGCUUAACCUUACAACGCCGAAG